Molecule: ribosomal RNA, 940 nt
Filed under: Vibrio parahaemolyticus
Lineage: Bacteria; Pseudomonadati; Pseudomonadota; Gammaproteobacteria; Vibrionales; Vibrionaceae
Description: partial 23S ribosomal RNA
Rfam family: Bacterial large subunit ribosomal RNA
Source: RNAcentral
AACAUCUAAGUACCCCGAGGAAAAGAAAUCAACCGAGAUUCCGAAAGUAGCGGCGAGCGAAAUUGGACUAGCCCUUAAGCUUUACACGCGUUAGACGAACGGUCUGGAAAGUCCGACGAUACAGGGUGAUAGUCCCGUAGUUGACGACGUGUGUUCAGUGAAAUCGAGUAGGGCGGGACACGUGAUAUCCUGUCUGAAUAUGGGGGGACCAUCCUCCAAGGCUAAAUACUACUGACUGACCGAUAGUGAACCAGUACCGUGAGGGAAAGGCGAAAAGAACCCCUGUGAGGGGAGUGAAAUAGAACCUGAAACCGUGUACGUACAAGCAGUAGGAGCACCUUCGUGGUGUGACUGCGUACCUUUUGUAUAAUGGGUCAGCGACUUAUAUUCAGUGGCAAGGUUAACCAUCUAGGGGAGCCGUAGGGAAACCGAGUCUUAACUGGGCGUUCAGUCUCUGGAUAUAGACCCGAAACCAGGUGAUCUAGCCAUGGGCAGGUUGAAGGUUGAGUAACAUCAACUGGAGGACCGAACCGACUAAUGUUGAAAAAUUAGCGGAUGACUUGUGGCUAGGGGUGAAAGGCCAAUCAAACCUGGAGAUAGCUGGUUCUCCCCGAAAGCUAUUUAGGUAGCGCCUCGGACGAAUACUACUGGGGGUAGAGCACUGUUAAGGCUAGGGGGUCAUCCCGACUUACCAACCCUUUGCAAACUCCGAAUACCAGUAAGUACUAUCCGGGAGACACACGGCGGGUGCUAACGUCCGUCGUGGAGAGGGAAACAACCCAGACCGCCAGCUAAGGUCCCAAAUUACUACUAAGUGGGAAACGAUGUGGGAAGGCUCAGACAGCCAGGAUGUUGGCUUAGAAGCAGCCAUCAUUUAAAGAAAGCGUAAUAGCUCACUGGUCGAGUCGGCCUGCGCGGAAGAUGUAACGGGGCUAAGUAG